Molecule: long non-coding RNA, 216 nt
Filed under: Homo sapiens (human)
Lineage: Eukaryota; Metazoa; Chordata; Mammalia; Primates; Hominidae
Description: long independently transcribed non-coding RNA 2585 (LINC02585)
Source: RNAcentral
CACGAGAGGAGCGGAGGCGAGGGGUGAACGCGGAGCACUCCAAUCGCUCCCAACUAGAGGUCCACCCAGGACCCAGAGACCUGGAUUUGAGGCUGCUGGGCGGCAGAUGGAGCGAUCAGAAGACCAGGAGACGGGAGCUGGAGUGCAGUGGCUGUUCACAAGCGUGAAAGCAAAGAUUAAAAAAUUUGUUUUUAUAUUAAAAAAAAAAAAAAAAAA